This is a long non-coding RNA of Lineus longissimus, 916 nucleotides long. RefSeq lists it as uncharacterized. Lineage: Eukaryota; Metazoa; Nemertea; Pilidiophora; Heteronemertea; Lineidae. The transcript is spliced from 3 exons. The record is from RefSeq and is a predicted model, not a curated record.
CAAUACAAGUUGGCGCUAAGCCGCCGGCCUGUCUUUCGCGGGGUAGAGGAAUAGUGCUCGGAUGGUGUGACGUCAAAUGUAUUGUCUUUGGUCAUGAUCGGUCUCGGUUGAUUUGAACGCAAGUCAGUUGGUGUGUGAGUGCACUGCGCAGAACAUCGCUGGAAAACUUUUUCCGAUUUCAAAGGUGAAAUUCGCUUCAACAUUUCGGAAAUCAAGUUAAAAGAGCUGCAGCAGAAGAGGCUUAGCCCAAGGAUGAGUCCGAUACACGAGAUGGUGGACGAUUGGUUGUCAGUCUUCCGUGGCAGUGCCCAGCAGUCCAGUUGCAGUGCCUAGCAGUCCUAGGCCUGCAGCUCAAACCGAGGGAUGGACCGACUCCCUUCCCGCGGCUGAACCCGGCAUCCUCCCAUCGAUGUAUACAAGCCACCUGUCCUACUUCUACCGGCAUCGUGACUAGUCCUCCAUGGUGACGAACAGUAACUCUGGACCUAGAGUGCUUAUAAAUCAGGAUGUAUAGAUGUAACAGGAAUGAACAAGGAAAGAGUAUUCCGUAGGGAGUUUUCGCAAAAGAGUAGGGACAAUCCAGGAUGCAUGAGUGUACAUGUAACAGUUUUUAAUACCCUAAGAUAUAAUGUUCUGGGGACUGAUGAAUAUAUUAUGCGCAUUAAUCUCGUAGGUGUUGAUGUACACCAACCAACAGGGAAGGACUUGUUGCCAGAGGGACGUUUCCUACUACUCCACUGGAAUAGAAAUCCUACCUAACUGUAGCGCCACCUGUUCCCACAUGUGGUGCCCACGUACAGAUUGUUGUCAGAAUAUCUUUUUGUAAAACCUUUUAAUGAUAUUUGACCAAUGUAUCAGGACGUUGAAUAUCUAAAUUUGUCCUAAACAUAUCAAAUAAAGAAUGAUAGUUUCACAA